This 407-nucleotide ribosomal RNA is filed under the name uncultured bacterium. RNAcentral describes it as "bacterial SSU rRNA". It matches the Rfam family "Bacterial small subunit ribosomal RNA", at positions 985 to 1393 of the family's 1533-position model. The record is from RNAcentral.
AGUCAAUUUAACGCCUUGAGAGAUCAGUUUUCCUUCGGGGACAAUGGUGACAGGUGGUGCAUGGUUGUCGUCAGCUCGUGUCGUGAGAUGUUGGGUUAAGUCCCGCAACGAGCGCAACCCCUAUCCUUAGUUGCCAGCAUUCAGUUGGGCACUCUAGGGAGACUGCCGGUGACAAACCGGAGGAAGGUGGGGAUGACGUCAAAUCAUCAUGCCCCUUAUGAGUUGGGCUACACACGUGCUACAAUGGACGGUACAAAGGGCAGCGAGACCGCGAGGUGGAGCCAAUCCCAUAAAGCCGUUCCCAGUUCGGAUUGCAGGCUGCAACUCGCCUGCAUGAAGUCGGAAUCGCUAGUAAUCGCAGGUCAGCAUACUGCGGUGAAUACGUUCCCGGGUCUUGUACACACCGA